AGGAUUAUAAUUUAAAAAAAAUAUUUGAUUUGCAUUCAAAAAAUAUUGAUAUAUCAAUUUAUCUUA
Molecule: transfer RNA, 66 nt
Filed under: Psilotreta sp. XG-2021
Lineage: Eukaryota; Metazoa; Arthropoda; Insecta; Trichoptera; Odontoceridae
Description: tRNA-Ala
Source: RNAcentral